ACGUUAGCGGCGGACGGGUGAGUAACACGUGGGUAACCUACCUAUAAGACUGGGAUAACUCCGGGAAACCGGGGCUAAUACCGGAUAACACAUGAAACCGCAUGGUUUCAUGAUGAAAGACAGUUUUGCUGUCACUUAUAGAUGGACCCGCGGCGUAUUAGCUAGUUGGUAAGGUAACGGCUUACCAAGGCAACGAUACGUAGCCGACCUGAGAGGGUGAUCGGCCACACUGGAACUGAGACACGGUCCAG
This 251-nucleotide ribosomal RNA is filed under the name uncultured Staphylococcus sp. Its description in RNAcentral is "partial 16S ribosomal RNA". It matches the Rfam family "Bacterial small subunit ribosomal RNA", at positions 89 to 334 of the family's 1533-position model. The record is from RNAcentral. Lineage: Bacteria; Bacillati; Bacillota; Bacilli; Caryophanales; Staphylococcaceae.